GCCUGUCAAAGUAUGUUUCCUGAAACGAUUGUGAAAGAAAUGGUUAAAGAUAUACUGUCCAUUUUUAUUUGAUUCAAAUCCAGUGAAUUUAUAACUUGGUAAAGAUCCAUGUCCAGUAAAUGUGAUCCUUGUCCAGUCACGUUACUAUUGUAGAUGCUUUAGAUGAUGGCACAACCUCACUUAUAAAUUAGACUGACCUCAGAGGUCUGGGAAAGUGCAAUAGAUGUUCUGGUGUUCGAUGGAAAGAGUCCCACCCUGUUUGUAGAAUACAUUUGUACCUCAUUUAGGCUAUAAUGGAGGAUUGGAAUAGUGGAAGAUUUACUUAAUAGUCUCCUUGCCAUUUGUUGUUUUGUUCCCCAUUAUUGUACAAUUAGUUUUAGCCGCUAUAAUGGAGUAUUGGAAUGAGAAACUUACUACAGCUGCUGGGAAUAGAGAUAUAGAAGCCUUAAAAUUAUGUCUACAGAAUGGUGCAGACAUUGAUUAUCAAGAUGCAAAAGGAUACACAGCAUUAAUGUUUGUUGCCUUGAAUGGAUACCUGGAGGUCUGUAGAUUCCUCAUUGAUAGAGGAUGUAAGA
Mytilus trossulus (common blue mussel) is the source of this 575-nucleotide long non-coding RNA. RefSeq lists it as uncharacterized. The transcript has 8 exons. NCBI's taxonomy places the organism in Eukaryota, Metazoa, Mollusca, Bivalvia, Mytilida, Mytilidae. The record is from RefSeq and is a predicted model, not a curated record.